Molecule: ribosomal RNA, 376 nt
Filed under: uncultured bacterium
Lineage: Bacteria
Description: partial 16S ribosomal RNA
Rfam family: Bacterial small subunit ribosomal RNA
Source: RNAcentral
UGGGGAAUAUUGCACAAUGGGCGCAAGCCUGAUGCAGCCAUGCCGCGUGUAUGAAGAAGGCCUUCGGGUUGUAAAGUACUUUCAGCGGGGAGGAAGGUGUUGUGGUUAAUAACCACAGCAAUUGACGUUACCCGCAGAAGAAGCACCGGCUAACUCCGUGCCAGCAGCCGCGGUAAUACGGAGGGUGCAAGCGUUAAUCGGAAUUACUGGGCGUAAAGCGCACGCAGGCGGUCUGUCAAGUCGGAUGUGAAAUCCCCGGGCUCAACCUGGGAACUGCAUCCGAAACUGGCAGGCUUGAGUCUUGUAGAGGGGGGUAGAAUUCCAGGUGUAGCGGUGAAAUGCGUAGAGAUCUGGAGGAAUGCCGGUGGCGAAGGCG